RNAcentral lists this ribosomal RNA (245 nucleotides) under uncultured bacterium. RNAcentral's name for it is "partial 16S ribosomal RNA". It matches the Rfam family "Bacterial small subunit ribosomal RNA", at positions 524 to 769 of the family's 1533-position model. The record is from RNAcentral.
UACGUAGGGGCCAAGCGUUGUCCGGAAUCACUGGGCGUAAAGCGCAUGUAGGUGGUUUGGUAAGUCAGAUGUAAAAUUCCCGAGCUUAACUCGGGACCGCAUUUGAUACUGCCAGACUAGAGAAUGGUAGAGGAAAGCGGAACUUCCGGUGUAGCGGUGAAAUGCGUAGAUAUCGGAAGGAACACCAGUGGCGAAGGCGGCUUUCUGGGCCAUUUCUGACACUGAGAUGCGAAAGCCAGGGGAGC